UACAGAGGGGGCAAGCGUUGUUCGGAAUUACUGGGCGUAAAGGGCGCGUAGGCGGCCUUCUAAGUCGAACGUGAAAUCCCUGGGCUCAACCCAGGAACUGCAUCCGAUACUGGCUGGCUUGAAUCCGGGAGAGGGAUGCAGAAUUCCAGGUGUAGCGGUGAAAUGCGUAGAUAUCUGGAGGAAUACCGGUGGCGAAGGCGGUAUCCUGGACCGGCAUUGACGCUGAUGAGCGAAAGCCAGGGGAGCAAACGGG
This 253-nucleotide ribosomal RNA is filed under the name uncultured bacterium. RNAcentral's name for it is "partial 16S ribosomal RNA". It matches the Rfam family "Bacterial small subunit ribosomal RNA", at positions 524 to 776 of the family's 1533-position model. The record is from RNAcentral.